Molecule: ribosomal RNA, 463 nt
Filed under: uncultured Desulfobulbus sp.
Lineage: Bacteria; Pseudomonadati; Thermodesulfobacteriota; Desulfobulbia; Desulfobulbales; Desulfobulbaceae
Description: bacterial SSU rRNA
Rfam family: Bacterial small subunit ribosomal RNA
Source: RNAcentral
CCGCACAAGCGGUGGAGUAUGUGGUUAAUUCGAUGCAACGCGAAGACCUUACCUGGUCUUGACAUCCCGGAGACCCUUAGGAACAGGGGGUGCUUCCAUCUGGAAGAAUCUGGAGACAGGUGCUGCAUGGCUGUCGUCAGCUCGUGUCGUGAGAUGUUGGGUUAAGUCCCGCAACGAGCGCAACCCUUGCCUUUAGUUGCCAGCAGUUCGGCUGGGCACUCUAAAGGGACUGCCGGUGUUAAACCGGAGGAAGGUGGGGAUGACGUCAAGUCCUCAUGGCCUUUAUGACCAGGGCUACACACGUACUACAAUGGCCGAUACAAAGGGCAGCGACACUGCGAGGUGAAGCCAAUCCCGUAAAAUCGGUCUCAGUCCGGAUUGGAGUCUGCAACUCGACUCCAUGAAGUUGGAAUCGCUAGUAAUCGUGGAUCAGCAUGCCACGGUGAAUACGUUCCCGGGCCUU